GAUGAACGCUGGCGGCGUGCCUAAUACAUGCAAGUCGAGCGAACAGACGAGGAGCUUGCUCCUCUGACGUUAGCGGCGGACGGGUGAGUAACACGUGGAUAACCUACCUAUAAGACUGGGAUAACUUCGGGAAACCGGAGCUAAUACCGGAUAAUAUAUUGAACCGCAUGGUUCAAUAGUGAAAGACGGUUUUGCUGUCACUUAUAGAUGGAUCCGCGCCGCAUUAGCUAGUUGGUAAGGUAACGGCUUACCAAGGCAACGAUGCGUAGCCGACCUGAGAGGGUGAUCGGCCACACGGGAACUGAGACACGGUCCAGACUCCUACGGGAGGCAGCAGUAGGGAAUCUUCCGCAAUGGGCGAAAGCCUGACGGAGCAACGCCGAGUGAGUGAUGAAGGUCUUCGGAUCGUAAAACUCUGUUAUUAGGGAAGAACAAAUGUGUAAGUAACUAUGCACGUCUUGACGGUACCUAAUCAGAAAGCCACGGCUAACUACGUG
RNAcentral lists this ribosomal RNA (497 nucleotides) under uncultured bacterium. RNAcentral's name for it is "partial 16S ribosomal RNA". It matches the Rfam family "Bacterial small subunit ribosomal RNA", at positions 28 to 507 of the family's 1533-position model. The record is from RNAcentral.